This is a transfer RNA of 100 nucleotides. It matches the Rfam family "tRNA". From Rfam's summary of the family: Transfer RNA (tRNA) molecules are approximately 80 nucleotides in length. Their secondary structure includes four short double-helical elements and three loops (D, anti-codon, and T loops). The record is from Rfam.
GGCCGAAUGGCGCAAUGGUAGCGCGUUACUUUCCGGUACUGCACUGCAGGUUGCCUUCGCUGGUUGGUAAAGGUUCUGGGUUCGAGUCCCAGUUUGGUCG